Long non-coding RNA from Clupea harengus (Atlantic herring), 2128 nucleotides. The record is from Ensembl. Lineage: Eukaryota; Metazoa; Chordata; Actinopteri; Clupeiformes; Clupeidae.
CCUCUGCUUUCUGACCGUGGCACGUGGGUGUUGUGUUCAUACCCUCUCUCUAUCCGUGGCACGUGGAUGUUGUUUUCAUACCCGCGCUCUAACUGUGGCUGUUGUGUUCAUACCCGCUCUCUAACCGUGGCACGUGGGUGUUGUGUUCAUACCCGCGCUCUAACUGUGCCACGUGGCUGUUGUGUUCAUACCCGCUCUCUAACCGUGUGGCACGUGGCUGUUGUGUUCAUACCAGCGCUCUGACCGUGCCACGUGGCUGUUGUGUUCAUACCCGCGCUCUCACCGUGGGUGUGUUCAUACCCGCGCUCUCACCGUGGGUGUUGUGUUCAUACCCGCUCUCUAACCGCGUGGCACGUGGCUGUUGUGUUCAUACCCGCUUUCUAACCGUGCCACGUGGCUGUUGUGUUCAUACCCGCGCUCUAACUGUGCCACGUGGCUACCAGAGGCCCUGAGAUUGAGUGGAGUUAGUGUGUGAGAUGGCAUUGGCUGAUUGAGUGGAGUUAGUGUGUGAGAUGGCAUUGGCUGAUUGAGUGGAGUUAGUGUGUGAGAUGGCAUUGGCUGAUUGAGUGGAGUUAGUGUGUGAGAUGGCAUUGGCUGAUUGAAGUCAUGAUAGUCGCUGAGACUUUGCUCCUUCAUCUCUGUGGGAGAUGGAUGUGUUUGUCUGAAUGAGGUACCUCUGCUGUGUCAAGGUCAACACACACACACACACAGCUUCCAUCUCUUUCUCUCUCCAUCUCUUUUUCCACUCUCAAUCUCUCUCUCCAUCUCUCUCUCCACUCUCCAUCUCUCUCUCCAUCUCAUCAUCAUCUUGAGGUUAAGUGGUUAAGUGUUGAGGUUCCUGACUGAUUGAGGUUAAGUGUUGAGGUUCCUGACUGAUUGAGGUUCAGUGGUUCAGUGUUGAGGUUCCUGACUGAUUGAGGUUAAGUGUUGAGGUUCCUGACUGAUUUGGGUUCAGUGUUAAGUGUUAAGUGUUAAGGUUCCUGACUAAUUGCGGUUCAGUGUUGAGGUUCCUGGGGAUGGUUUAAUCCCUUCUCCUUCCGUCCUUCAGACAUGGCCACCAGAGGUCGCUGCAAGGUCACAGGUCACGUGCGUCACCAGGGCGCCAUGGUGACAGGCUGUCUCACGGGGCCUUGAGGAUCUCAUCUCCUCUGGUCAGAGCACGCGCUGUAAACACACACACACACACACUCACACACACACACACACACACACACACACACACAUACUCACACACACACACCAUGGAGAGACUGUGACUCUUCUGGAGGAUAAUACACACAAGUCUAUAUGAUGGACCUCAUCCCGGUGUUUAGAUUCAGUUUUAAGGAGAAACACACACACACACACACACACAGUAUAUAUCCAUUGAGCUGAAUAUAAGAGUGUGUGGAGGAGCUUAGGGUCAUUUCUGCUGACAGGGGAUCCCCACUGAUCCACUUUCCUUCCCUAAGAGACACACACACACACACACACACACACACACCCCUUCCCUAAGUCCUCCUGGCAGAACAGAGCACUUAAACACAGCAGCUUAGCACAGGCCCCUAAGACACACACACACACACACACACACACACACACACACACACUCACCACAGGCCACUAAGCUCAGCACUACAUGAUGCCCAUCAUAGAACAGUAGUGACGCUGAAUAACACACACCGUCCCGUUCACUCUGGCUGCAUAACACACGCACGCACGCACGCACACACACACACACACACACACACACACCGUCCCGUUCACUCUGGCUGAAUAACACACACACACACACACACACACACACACACACACACACCGUCCCGUUCACUCUGGCUGAAUAACACACACACACACACACACACACACACACACACACACACACAUACACACACACCGUCCCGAUCACUCUGGCUGAAUCACACACACACACACACACACACACACACACACACACACACACACACACACACACACACACACCGUCCCGUUCACUCUGGUCAAUGGGACGAGAGAUGGGAUGCGAGAUGCAUGUUAUUGUUACAUGUACGGCUAUAUUGUUUACCAGUGUAGCAUUUAGGACCUAGCAUUACUAGCUGCUUAGCAUUACUAGCUGCUUAGCAUUACUAGCUGUUUAGCAUUACUAGCU